GACAGCAGUAGCCACGGUAAUACGAAGGGUGCAAGCGUUACUCGGAAUUACUGGGCGUAAAGCGUGCGUAGGUGGUGGUUUAAGUCCGUUGUGAAAGCCCUGGGCUCAACCUGGGAAUUGCAGUGGAUACUGGGUCACUAGAGUGUGGUAGAGGAUAGUGGAAUUUCCGGUGUAGCAGUGAAAUGCGUAGAGAUCGGAAGGAACAUCUGUGGCGAAGGCGACUAUCUGGGCCAACACUGACACUGAGGCACGAAAGCGUGGGGAGCAAACAGGAUUAGAUACCCCGGUAGUCCCUGUCUCUUAUAC
This 306-nucleotide ribosomal RNA is filed under the name uncultured bacterium. Its description in RNAcentral is "partial 16S ribosomal RNA". It matches the Rfam family "Bacterial small subunit ribosomal RNA", at positions 505 to 807 of the family's 1533-position model. The record is from RNAcentral.